RNAcentral lists this ribosomal RNA (496 nucleotides) under uncultured bacterium. RNAcentral's name for it is "partial 16S ribosomal RNA". It matches the Rfam family "Bacterial small subunit ribosomal RNA", at positions 28 to 506 of the family's 1533-position model. The record is from RNAcentral.
GAUGAACGCUGGCGGCGUGCCUAAUACAUGCAAGUCGAGCGAACGGGCGCUAAGCUUUCUUCUCGGAUGUAAGCGGCGGGCGGGUGAGUAACACGUUGAUAACCUACCUAUAAUACUGGGAUAACUUCGGGAAACCGGAGCGAAUUCCGGAUAAUAUUUUUAACCGCAUGGUUAAAAAUUGAAAGGCGGUCUUGCUGUCACUUGUAGAUGGAUCCGCGCUGCAGUUGCUAGUUGGUAAGGUAACGGCUUACCAAGGCAACGAUGCAUAGCCGACCUGAGAGGGUGAGCGGCAACACUGGAACUGAGACACGGUCAAGGCUCCGACGGGAGGCAGAAGUAGGGAAGGGUAAGCAAUGGGAGAGAGCCUGACGGAGCAACGCCGACUGAGUGAUGAAGGUCUUCGGAUCGGAAAACUAUGUUAUUAGGGCAGACCACAUGUGUAAGUAAUUGGGCACAUCUUGACGGUACCUAAUCAGAAAGACACGGCUAACUACGU